This 200-nucleotide unclassified non-coding RNA is filed under the name soil metagenome. RNAcentral's name for it is "partial contains internal transcribed spacer 2 and large subunit ribosomal RNA". The record is from RNAcentral.
CGUCAUUUGUACCCUCAAGCUUUGCUUGGUGUUGGGUGUUUGUCCACUCCUUGUUGUUUGGACUCGCCUUAAAACAAUUGGCAGCCAGUGUUUGGUAUUGAAGCGCAGCACAAUUUGCGAUUCUGGCCUAACAACACUUGCGUCCACAAGUCUUUUUAACGCUUGACCUCGGAUCAGGUAGGGAUACCCGCUGAACUUAA